UACGAAGGGGGCUAGCGUUGCUCGGAAUCACUGGGCGUAAAGCGCACGUAGGCGGAUCUUUAAGUCAGGGGGGAAAUCCUGGAGCUCAACUCCAGAACUGCCUUUGAUACUGGGGAUCUCGAGUCCGGGAGAGGUGAGUGGAACUCCGAGUGUAGAGGUGAAAUUCGUAGAUAUUCGGAAGAACACCAGUGGCGAAGGCGGCUCACUGGCCCGGUACUGACGCUGAGGUGCGAAAGCGUGGGGAGCAAACAGG
RNAcentral lists this ribosomal RNA (253 nucleotides) under uncultured bacterium. RNAcentral's name for it is "partial 16S ribosomal RNA". It matches the Rfam family "Bacterial small subunit ribosomal RNA", at positions 524 to 776 of the family's 1533-position model. The record is from RNAcentral.